RNAcentral lists this ribosomal RNA (484 nucleotides) under uncultured bacterium. RNAcentral describes it as "partial 16S ribosomal RNA". It matches the Rfam family "Bacterial small subunit ribosomal RNA", at positions 30 to 507 of the family's 1533-position model. The record is from RNAcentral.
AUUGAACGCUGGCGGCAGGCCUAACACAUGCAAGUCGAGCGGAUGAAGGGAGCUUGCUUCUGGAUUCAGCGGCGGACGGGUGAGUAAUGCCUAGGAAUCUGCCUGGUAGUGGGGGAUAACGUCCGGAAACGGGCGCUAAUACCGCAUACGUCCUGAGGGAUAAAGUGGGGGAUUUUGGUACCACGCGCUACUAGAUGAGCCUAGGUAGGAUUAGCUAGUUGGUGGGGUAAAGGCCUACCAAGGCGACGAUCCGUAACUGGUCUGAGAGGAUGAUCAGUCACACUGGAACUGGGACACGGUCCAGACUCCUACGGGAGGAAGCGGUGGGGAAUAUUGGAAAAUGAGCGAAAGCCUGAUCCAGCCAUGCCGCGUGUGUAAAGAAGGUCUUCGGAUUGUAAAGCACUUUAAGUUGGGAGGAAGGGCAGUAAGUUAAUAACUUGCUGUUUUGACGGUACCAACAGAAAAAGCACCGGCUAACUUCGUG